This 248-nucleotide ribosomal RNA is filed under the name uncultured bacterium. RNAcentral describes it as "partial small subunit ribosomal RNA". It matches the Rfam family "Bacterial small subunit ribosomal RNA", at positions 26 to 285 of the family's 1533-position model. The record is from RNAcentral.
AGGACGAACGCUGGCGGCGUGCUUAACACAUGCAAGUCGAACGGGGCCUUUCGGGGCCUAGUGGCGAACGGGUGAGUAACACGUGAGCAACCUGCCCUUAGCUUCGGGAUAGCUCCGGGAAACCGGAAUUAAUACCGAAUAUGACUGCGGCUGACAUCAGCCACGGUGGAAAGUUUUUCGGCUAGGGAUGGACUCGCGGCCUAUCAGCUAGUUGGUGAGGUAACGGCCCACCAAGGCGACGACGGGUA